AGAAGAAGAAGAAGAAGAAGAAGAAGAAGAAGAAGCACUCUACACUCUGUUGAGUCUGUUGAGGGUCUCCCAAGACUUUUAAAUUGAUAUGUAAUGUGGCAUUUAAGUCCUUAUCAUUCUUGAUCUCUUUAAACUGUUUGUCAUUGUUGUCUCUUCUCCUUGGAAACUUUGUUCCUUAAUUUUUUGACUGUAUGGCCACCUUGAUUAUUUGACAGAGUACAUAUGUAUUUCAUUUUGUUCUCUAAUGCACAUCUUUACUUUUGACAACUACCAAACAUUCUUCUUCUCCUGGUCACAUUCUGGGACCAUUUCUCUUCUCAUACUGCCUAGUCACAUCAAGGAAACAUAUUAUAUGACUUCAACUACUACCUAGACACUAAUGAUUCCUAAAUCUGCAUUUAUGGCCCUGCCUUCUAAGUCUUUUGUCUUGUAAUGAUUUUGUACCAUCCGUUAUUAUCAGAGAGAAAGGGAUAACUGGAAAUAAGGCAUUCUUAGCUCUCCUCGAUUUAUCAAUAUGGAGGGAAUUUAUGUCAUAUUUCAUAAGAUUGAAAGUGAGAAUUUUAAGGUUUAUUCACAUGGAAACCAAAGAAAAAUUGUAUUUGGUAUCCUAUCCAUGCAUUUUCUCAGCAAUGGCAGACACAUUUUUCUGUGAUUGUAUAAAUCCCAGAUGACCUCCUUCUACAACUUUAUAACAGGCAGCAGAACAGCUUCUUUUAUAGGUGCUCAUCUCUCAAGGUAAGUUGUGAGAAUGAGUUUUCAAUAUGUCAUUAAAGGGACAAAUGAAUAUUGACAGUUGAGGCCGGGACCUUAUCAUUCCCUUUGCUUCAUGCUCUAAUAUUCUAACCUGCUGCUACUUAAAGUGACAGUGACAGUGAAACCCCAAUUCCUACAGAAUUAAAAAUCUUACAAGAAAAAAAAAGACAUGAUUCAAUUGCACUACCUUCUCUGCUACUAAGGUACAACAUAAUAUAGAAGUGUCUUCCCUGCUAAUUCUCGACUCAGCUUCCUCUUAUCUAAGAUGGAGAUAAUAAUGUCUGACCUAUCUCCAUUACUGCAUUGUGUUUGUUCAAGUCAUUAAGGGACUGUAGAUGGUAUUCAUGUAGAGGAGACCUUUAUUAAUAACCAACAGACAAAAUGAUACCAGAAAUAUAUGUUGGUAGGGGUUGAAAUGUAUAGGUUCCCAGGCAUGUUAAAAUACAGGGUUUCAUUCAUUGAGCUCUAAUGGACCUUUCAAAUGCCUAAUCUCAUUAUACUUUUUGUUUUAAAGAACAUUGAAAUUACCUUUCUAUGAUAGCUGCUACUCUUAUUUUGUUUGGGAUUUGGGCUUAUGUCUGUUUUAUUCUGAGUUGAAAUGUUAAAGGAGUUCUUUGACAUUUUUGAUCUGCAUACCUUGUGAAGUAUAAAUUCUGUAUCUUAGCUUUAAAAAAGAAGCAGGAACAAAGUCUACACGCUAUUUGAUGCUUGCUUUUGCCAUCAUUUAUAGAUGACAUUUUGAUGAACAUUCAGAAUGAAAUAAGUAUGUUUGUCUUGUCUCUCAUGUAGUUUUGGCACCUUUUGAAAAGCAUAUGUGUUUAUCAACGUGUGGCAGUAAUUUCUGAGAAGAGCAACAUAACCAUGUGGUAUAAAUUGCUCCUGGACCCAGUCAUUGGAAUAUUAGAGGGUACAGCACAAAACUUCGGGAACUACGGAAAUCUUGGAAUUUCAGUUCAUGCUCUCUACCAACAACAACUGUGUGACUCUGGACCUUCAGCUUCCCUUUGUUUCAAAUGAAAGAGUUAAAUGUAAUUUCUAAGUCCUAAUUAAUCAAGAUAUUCUGAAUUUACAUAGCCAAAUGAUUAAGUUUGCUAGUCUGUCUUAUGUUAUUAACUAGAUGAAGAAAAAGAAUUAGAACCUGGUGUCUUUAAA
Myodes glareolus (Bank vole) is the source of this 1905-nucleotide non-coding RNA. NCBI's taxonomy places the organism in Eukaryota, Metazoa, Chordata, Mammalia, Rodentia, Cricetidae. The record is from RefSeq and is a predicted model, not a curated record.